This is a small nuclear RNA of Sciurus carolinensis (gray squirrel), 104 nucleotides long. Lineage: Eukaryota; Metazoa; Chordata; Mammalia; Rodentia; Sciuridae. The record is from RefSeq and is a predicted model, not a curated record.
GUGCUCACUUAGGCAGCACAUAUACUAAAAUUGGAACAACACAGAGAUUAGCAUGGCCCCUAUGCAAGGGUGACACACAAAUUCAAAAAGUGUUAUUUUUACUA